UGGAGUUAAGGGUUGCUUGGAGA
This 23-nucleotide microRNA is filed under the name Homo sapiens (human). RNAcentral's name for it is "hsa-miR-4653-3p". The record is from miRBase by way of RNAcentral. Lineage: Eukaryota; Metazoa; Chordata; Mammalia; Primates; Hominidae.